CCUACGGGAGGCAGCAGUGGGGAAUAUUGGACAAUGGGCGAAAGCCUGAUCCAGCCAUGCCGCGUGUGUGAAGAAGGUCUUCGGAUUGUAAAGCACUUUAAGUUGGGAGGAAGGGUUGUAGAUUAAUACUCUGCAAUUUUGACGUUACCGACAGAAUAAGCACCGGCUAACUCUGUGCCAGCAGCCGCGGUAAUACAGAGGGUGCAAGCGUUAAUCGGAAUUACUGGGCGUAAAGCGCGCGUAGGUGGUUUGUUAAGUUGGAUGUGAAAUCCCCGGGCUCAACCUGGGAACUGCAUUCAAAACUGACUGACUAGAGUAUGGUAGAGGGUGGUGGAAUUUCCUGUGUAGCGGUGAAAUGCGUAGAUAUAGGAAGGAACACCAGUGGCGAAGGCGACCACCUGGACUAAUACUGACACUGAGGUGCGAAAGCGUGGGGAGCAAACAGGAUUAGAUACCCUGGUAGUCCACGCCGUAAACGAUGUCAACUAGCCGUUGGAAGCCUUGAGCUUUUUAGGNGGCGCAGCUAACGCAUUAAGUUGACCGCCGUGGGGAGUAACCGGCCGACGUUAAAGGGUUAAAACUGAAAAGGUUAAUUGGACGGCGUUGGAAGACCGNGCGACGGACGACGACGAGGGAGGAGG
This 641-nucleotide ribosomal RNA is filed under the name uncultured bacterium. Its description in RNAcentral is "bacterial SSU rRNA". The stretch from base 1 to 545 matches the Rfam family "Bacterial small subunit ribosomal RNA", at positions 338 to 873 of the family's 1533-position model. The record is from RNAcentral.